UACGAAGGGAGCUAGCGUUGUUCGGAAUCACUGGGCGUAAAGCGCACGUAGGCGGAUGUGUCAGUCAGGGGUGAAAUCCCGGAGCUCAACUUCGGAACUGCCUUUGAUACAGCACAUCUGGAGUCCGGAAGAGGUGGGUGGAAUUCCUAGUGUAGAGGUGAAAUUCGUAGAUAUUAGGAAGAACACCGGUGGCGAAGGCGGCCCACUGGUCCGGUACUGACGCUGAGGUGCGAAAGCGUAGGGAGCAAACAGG
Molecule: ribosomal RNA, 253 nt
Filed under: uncultured bacterium
Lineage: Bacteria
Description: partial 16S ribosomal RNA
Rfam family: Bacterial small subunit ribosomal RNA
Source: RNAcentral